GGAGGAAGAAGGUUUUCGGAUUGUAAACUCCUGUCGUUAGGGACGAUAAUGACGGUACCUAACAAGAAAGCACCGGCUAACUACGUGCCAGCAGCCGCGGUAAAACGUAGGGUGCAAGCGUUGUCCGGAAUUACUGGGUGUAAAGGGAGCGCAGGCGGGAAGACAAGUUGGAAGUGAAAACCAUGGGCUCAACCCAUGAAUUGCUUUCAAAACUGUUUUUCUUGAGUAGUGCAGAGGUAGAUGGAAUUCCCGGUGUAGCGGUGGAAUGCGUAGAUAUCGGGAGGAACACCAGUGGCGAAGGCGGUCUACUGGGCACCAACUGACGCUGAGGCUCGAAAGCAUGGGUAGCAAACAGGAUUAGAUACCCUGGUAGUCCAUGCCGUAAACGAUGAUUACUAGGUGUUGGGGGAUUGACCCCCUCAGUGCCGCAGUUAACACAAUAAGUAAUCCACCUGGGGAGUACGACCGCAAGGUUGAAACUCAAAGGAAUUGACGGGGGCCCGCACAAGCAGUGGAGUAUGUGGUUUAAUUCGAAGCAACGCGAAGAACCUUACCAGGUCUUGACAUCCGAUGCAUAGCACAGAGAUGUGUGAAAUCCUUCGGGACAUCGAGACA
Molecule: ribosomal RNA, 615 nt
Filed under: uncultured bacterium
Lineage: Bacteria
Description: bacterial SSU rRNA
Rfam family: Bacterial small subunit ribosomal RNA
Source: RNAcentral